Molecule: ribosomal RNA, 253 nt
Filed under: uncultured bacterium
Lineage: Bacteria
Description: partial 16S ribosomal RNA
Rfam family: Bacterial small subunit ribosomal RNA
Source: RNAcentral
UACGGAGGGUGCGAGCGUUGUCCGGAAUCACUGGGCGUAAAGGGCGCGUAGGCGGCGCGGGCAGUCAACGGUGAAAGCUUGGGGCUCAACCCCGAGUCGGCCGUCGAUACUCCCGUGCUGGAGCACUGUAGAGGCAGGUGGAAUUCCGGGUGUAGCGGUGGAAUGCGUAGAGAUCCGGAGGAAUACCAGUGGCGAAAGCGGCGCUCUGGGUCGAGCCUGACACUGAGACGCGAAGGCAUGGGGAGCGAACGGG